AUGAGCACCUUGUCAUGGAACUGCCGGGGGCUUGGGAACCCCUGGACAGUUCGUGAGCUUCACAAGCUUGUGAAGCAAGAAGGACCCGCCCUGUUAUUUGUCAUGGAGACGAAGAUUAGGGGUAGGAGAGUUGAGGAUUUGAAACUUUCUUUAGGAUUCUCAGGUUGUUUUGCCGUCGAUAGUGACGGGCUUAGUGGAGGUAUUGGCCUCUUU
This 213-nucleotide ribosomal RNA is filed under the name Triticum aestivum (bread wheat). RNAcentral describes it as "partial small subunit ribosomal RNA". The record is from RNAcentral. Lineage: Eukaryota; Viridiplantae; Streptophyta; Magnoliopsida; Poales; Poaceae.